UCAGGACGAACGCUGGCGGCGUGCCUAAUACAUGCAAGUCGAACGGUCUUUCUAUGGAAGCUUGCUUCCACUGGGAAGAUAGUGGCGAACGGGUGAGUAACACGUGGGUAACCUGCCCAUAAGAGGGGGGAUAACAUCCGGAAACGGGUGCUAAUACCGCAUAGUUUUCUUGAUCGCAUGAUUGAGAAAGGAAAGACGGCCUUUGUGCUGUCGCUUAUGGAUGGACCCGCGGCGUAUUAGUUAGUUGGUGAGGUAACGGCUCACCAAGACGAUGAUACGUAGCCGACCUGAGAGGGUGAUCGGCCACAUUGGGACUGAGACACGGCCCAAACUCCUACGGGAGGCAGCAGUAGGGAAUCUUCCGCAAUGGACGAAAGUCUGACGGAGCAACGCCGCGUGAGUGAAAGAAGGUUUUCGGAUCGUAAAACUCUGUUGUCAGAGAAGAACAAGUUGGAGAGUAACUGCUCCAGCCUUGACGGUAUCUGACCAGAAAGCCACGGCUAACUACGUGCCAGCCGCCGC
RNAcentral lists this ribosomal RNA (522 nucleotides) under uncultured bacterium. RNAcentral's name for it is "bacterial SSU rRNA". It matches the Rfam family "Bacterial small subunit ribosomal RNA", at positions 24 to 518 of the family's 1533-position model. The record is from RNAcentral.